CCAGGUCUUGACAUCCUCUUGCAAGCAUCCUAGCCGAUGCCCUCCUUCGGGACAAGAGAGACAGGUGGUGCAUGGUUGUCGUCAGCUCGUGUCGUGAGAUGUUGGGUUAAGUCCCGCAACGAGCGCAACCCUUGUGUUUAGUUGCCAACAGGUUAAGCUGUGCACUCUAAACAGACUGCCGUGGAUAACACGGAGGAAGGUGGGGAUGACGUCAAAUCAUCAUGCCCCUUAUGAUCUGGGCUACACACGUGCUACAAUGGUCGGUACAACGGGCAGCGAAAGAGCGAUCUGGAGCGAAUCCUAAAAAGCCGAUCCCAGUUCGGAUUGCAGGCUGAAACUCGCCUACAUGAAGUUGGAGUUGCUAGUAAUCGCGAAUCAGAAUGUCGCGGUGAAUGCGUUCCC
This 402-nucleotide ribosomal RNA is filed under the name uncultured bacterium. RNAcentral's name for it is "bacterial SSU rRNA". It matches the Rfam family "Bacterial small subunit ribosomal RNA", at positions 974 to 1375 of the family's 1533-position model. The record is from RNAcentral.